RNAcentral lists this unclassified non-coding RNA (258 nucleotides) under uncultured Ascomycota. Its description in RNAcentral is "sequence contains 5.8S rRNA gene, ITS2, 28S rRNA gene". Lineage: Eukaryota; Fungi; Ascomycota. The record is from RNAcentral.
AACGCACAUUGCGCCCUUUGGCAUUCCGAAGGGCAUACCUGUUCGAGCGUCAUUGCACCUCUCAAGCACAGCUUGGUGAUGGGCGCCUGUCCUCCCGCGCUUUGGCGGCGGGACUCGCCUGAAAAGCAUCGGCGUCCGGUGGCUGGUCUUGCGCGUAGCAGAUUGUUCGCACAAGGGCCGGUCCGCCUGGGCUGCCGCACACGUCCAAUGCAUCUUCGUUUUGACCUCGGAUCAGGUAGGGAUACCCGCUGAACUUAA